RNAcentral lists this ribosomal RNA (879 nucleotides) under uncultured bacterium. RNAcentral's name for it is "bacterial SSU rRNA". It matches the Rfam family "Bacterial small subunit ribosomal RNA", at positions 21 to 906 of the family's 1533-position model. The record is from RNAcentral.
GGCUCAGAACGAACGUUGGCGGCGUGGAUUAGGCAUGCAAGUCGAACGAAUCCCAGUGGGGGUAACUCUGCUGGGGGAAGUGGCGAAAGGGGCAGUAAUGCGUGGGUAACCUACCCCGGGGAUGGGGAUAGCUGCCCUAACGGGCAGGUAAUACCCGGCGAUUUGACGGAGGGGCAUCUCUCUGUCAGGAAAUGAAUUUCGCCUCGGGAGGGGCUCACGUGGUAUUAGCUUGUUGGUGGGGUAACGGCCUACCAAGGCAAAGAUGCCUAGCGGGUGUGAGAGCACGACCCGCGCCACUGGCACUGAGACACUGGCCAGACACCUACGGGUGGCUGCAGUCGAGGAUCUUCGGCAAUGGGCGCAAGCCUGACCGAGCGACGCCGCGUGCGCGAUGAAGGCCUUCGGGUUGUAAAGCGCUGUCGAGGGGGAGGAAGCCGCAAGGUUGACCUAUCCCUGGAGGAAGCACGGGCUAAGUUCGUGCCAGCAGCCGCGGUAAGACGAACCGUGCAAACGUUGUUCGGAAUCACUGGGCUUAAAGGGCGCGUAGGCGGGCAAGCAAGUCCGGGGUGAAAUCUUUCGGCUCAACCGGAAAAGUGCCUUGGAUACUGCUUGUCUGGAGGGAGGUAGGGGCAUGUGGAACUUCUGGUGGAGCGGUGAAAUGCGUUGAUAUCAGAAGGAACGCCGGUGGCGAAAGCGACGUGCUGGACCUCUUCUGACGCUGAUGCGCGAAAGCUAGGGGAGCAAACGGGAUUAGAUACCCCGGUAGUCCUAGCCCUAAACGAUGGGUACUAGAUUGUGGACUAGACAUGGGUUCCCAGUCGAAGCAAAAGUGAUAAGUACCCCGCCUGGGGAGUAUGGUCGCAAGGCUGAAACUCAAAU